This is an RNA transcript of Rhagoletis zephyria (snowberry fruit fly), 1337 nucleotides long. RefSeq lists it as uncharacterized. NCBI's taxonomy places the organism in Eukaryota, Metazoa, Arthropoda, Insecta, Diptera, Tephritidae. The record is from RefSeq and is a predicted model, not a curated record.
UAAUACGGAAAAACCUUAUUGAAACCGAAAAAAAAAUCCUGUGUUAUUUAUAUGGAAAUCGAAUUUUUGAAAGAGCUAAGCCUGUAAUGGCUUUAACAUUUUUUUUAUACGGCGUUUUUUUAGUAUUAUUUUCUAAUAAGUAUCAGAUUUUCAGGUAGCACAAAGUAUAUAUCGCCUAAAAAUGAAACAGCCUAGUAGGGCGCACGCGCCUGUGGGAAUAGAUUAGGUACUCCAGUUAAGUUUGGAACUCGCAGAACUUCGAAAACAAGUUCAAUCAAAGCCAGUCGCUUCAAAUCGGCAAGACCCAGAAUCGAUUUAGGUCCGACCUACAUUCUAGAGGGUUGCAUAAAUGGUUUUGAAAGGACAAUCAAAGAAUUUGCUAAUUUAGCUAUAUGUAAUUCACUUCACUUCCUCAGAGCUUUCAAAUACUGUCAAAUGCGAAAAAUGGUGAAUCAAAACUUUUGCAAUAAAAUCAUCGAGCACUACUGCAUUUGCUGUCGACUGUCAACCACUGCACACCAAGGCGGCGAAUGCAGUAAAAUUUUAACGAAAACCGCUUUGUGCGAGGCACUCAGCUUGCUGGCCUCAUGGAAUCUGCAAAACCUCUGCAAGAAAUUUAAAGGACAAAAGGUUUGCACUGUGGCAUUCCGUUAUUUGACGGAUGACGACAUCUGUGAACUAAUUCCAAAUAUUGGACCCCGUGCUAUAUUUCGUUCGCAUCUUUUGGCUUGGCGACAACAGCAAGAAAUGAAAAAAGACGGCCACGUUAUUUUACUAAACAGCGAUCAAGUGGAUACAACAAUUGCCAUCAAAAACGAGCUUCCAGAAAUAACCCCAGAAGAAGAGCACGCGAUUAAUAUGUAUGAGGACGCUAAAAAAGAGAGCGAGUUGUACGAAGAUAGCGACUCCAAAACUGUAUCGGUGAUGUGCGAGUCAAAAUGUGAUUGAAAGGACGUCUUCUUCGAAAAAACACUUGGUAUGUAGGCGAAAAUAAUCGCACGCACUAACAGAAAUCGAUGUUAAAGAUUCAGGCACAAUUUUUCAAAAGCUGUGCAGUCGUUUUUUACCAAAAUUUAAUGCUUGAAAUUUUAAACUUUUUAAUCAGAUUUCUUAGAAUGUUGCAGUCUUUUGAAUUCUAGUAAAAGCAAUGCAAGUUCGGAGUUAGUUAAAAAUCGCAUUAAUUUUUGAGAAUUUGUUUUGUUGAAGGUGUUUUGCAUUUUUUUUCAUAUAAAGUAUUUUCGGCCGCUGUGGUGUAGUGGUAAGCAGUGCGCGCUUUCAUUCAUCAGCACCCGGGUUCAAGUCCUGGUCAAAGCAACAUCGCAAAAAAUAUAGAAAAA